GUCCUCUGAGAACUGGGAAUUCUCAUAAGAAAUUAGCUGUUUAAAUUAAACUAAAUUAAUUAGGAGCUCAGUGUGGAAAGGAGAGCUCCAUCUUUUUCCCUGAAGCCAGAGAAGAAUUCAAAGAAGAUGAUGAAUGGAAAAGAAAGAAUUUCAGGGACCUGCUGACAUUUCUUAAGCCACAAUCAAAACAGCAGGUCUGUAACGCCUUUCAGAAAGAAAAAUUACAUAACGCAAAUACACUGAGGCAGGAUUACAGCCCUUUUGCUGAGAAAUGUCCCUCAUCCCUACCCACGACAAUGCAGACACCUACUAGCCUCUUAACAUCACAGGCAGAGAUGGACAAAUGUGGAAGAAGGUUGACUUUAACACUGCCUAGGUGAAAACUGUUUACACUCAGGUUUGGAGGCAAGUCCAAGCACUUUUUGUGGUUUUUGUCCCUAUCAGCUUGUUGCUGUCAGUUCCAAACUUCAACUGCCCUUCAGCUGCCCUUGCUUUUUUUCUUGCUUCUUCCCCCAUACACCAACACUCUGUUUUCAAUUUUGAUCUGAUGAAGGUAAAUUUUUACCUGAAAAAGUUAUUUUUGACUGGACACAAGGCAAAGCUGGGGAAAAUCCCAAGACAAAUAAAAAUCCCUGUCAUCCUUUUGUGGAACAAGCACAAAGGCCAGAUUUUGAAUUGACUUAAUUUAAAUUCUGUGGACCAUGAGUAUGCUGAAUCUCAUGUGUCACUCUGGAAAGUUGACUGAUUUCUCACAGCUACUAUUUAUAUAAUAACUGUAUAGUAAAGUUUUUAGAGGUCCCUCAUGGCAAUGUACUCUGCUACUGUAUUAAAUAGGUUUAUCUGGAGAUUAUCAAAAACUCAAGAGUGAAAUCAUAGAGCUCCUUAAUAUACACUGCAGCCAACUAUAUUAAGUACAGAAACUUUUUUCUCCCACAUAAACCAUAUUUCUAAAUGUUUAGAGUUGUAUAUAAUCAUAGUGGCUAUUGUAAAAGGCAGAAUUCUCCUAUGAGGUAUUAAUGUUCUAUUUAUAAAUUAUUGUUUUCUAAAAUACAC
Molecule: long non-coding RNA, 1053 nt
Filed under: Anas zonorhyncha (Eastern spot-billed duck)
Lineage: Eukaryota; Metazoa; Chordata; Aves; Anseriformes; Anatidae
Description: lncRNA (ENSAZOG00000008053.1)
Source: RNAcentral